AGCAGCCGCGGUAAUUCCAGCUCCAAUAGCGUAUAUUAAAGUUGUUGCAGUUAAAAAGCUCGUAGUUGAAUUUCGAGAUCAGUACGCUGGUCGUGCCUUUGGUAUGCACUGGUGUCACUGGUUUCUCCCUUCUGAAGAACUGUCAUGCCAUUCAGUUGGUGUGGCGGGGAAUCAGGACUGUUACUUUGAAAAAUUAGAGUGUUUAAAGCAGGCUCGCGCUUGAAUACAUUAGCAUGGAAUAAUGAAAUAGGACGUUUGACCCUAUUUUGUUGGUUUCUAGGAUCGACGUAAUGAUUAAUAGGGAUAGUUGGGGGCAUUAGUAUUCAAUUGUCAGAGGUGAAAUUCUUGGAUUUAUUGAAGACUAACUACUGCGAAAGCAUUUGCCAAGGAUGUUUUCAUUAAUCAAGAACGAAAGUUAGGGGAUCGAAGACGAUCAGAUACCGUCGUAGUCUUAACCAUAAACUAUGCCGACUAGGGAUCGGAUGAUGUUAAUUUUUAAUGACUU
Molecule: ribosomal RNA, 505 nt
Filed under: uncultured Glomus
Lineage: Eukaryota; Fungi; Glomeromycota; Glomeromycetes; Glomerales; Glomeraceae
Description: SSU rRNA
Rfam family: Eukaryotic small subunit ribosomal RNA
Source: RNAcentral